GUCUAUGGCCAUAUCACCCUGAACACACCCAAUCUCGCCUGGUCUCGAAAGUUAAUCAGGGUCAGGCCUGGUUAGUACUUGGAUGGAAGACAGAUCUUCAGAAGAGACUGGUCAGAGAUG
Molecule: ribosomal RNA, 120 nt
Filed under: Castor canadensis (American beaver)
Lineage: Eukaryota; Metazoa; Chordata; Mammalia; Rodentia; Castoridae
Source: RNAcentral